GCGCCCGUAGCUCAGUGGAUAGAGCACCGACCUCCUAAGUCGGGGGCCGCAGGUUCGAUUCCUGCCGGGCGCGCCA
Molecule: transfer RNA, 76 nt
Filed under: Gammaproteobacteria bacterium
Lineage: Bacteria; Pseudomonadati; Pseudomonadota; Gammaproteobacteria
Description: tRNA-Arg
Rfam family: tRNA
About the family: Transfer RNA (tRNA) molecules are approximately 80 nucleotides in length. Their secondary structure includes four short double-helical elements and three loops (D, anti-codon, and T loops). Further hydrogen bonds mediate the characteristic L-shaped molecular structure. tRNAs have two regions of fundamental functional importance: the anti-codon, which is responsible for specific mRNA codon recognition, and the 3' end, to which the tRNAs corresponding amino acid is attached (by aminoacyl-tRNA synthetases). tRNAs cope with the degeneracy of the genetic code in two manners: having more than one tRNA (with a specific anti-codon) for a particular amino acid; and 'wobble' base-pairing, i.e. permitting non-standard base-pairing at the 3rd anti-codon position.
Source: RNAcentral